AAGAAAUUAUGUAAAAGAGCUUUUACAUUAAAAAUAAUGAACCAAAAUCUACUAAUACAAUAAUCCAUAUAAUCUGUGUAAAAAGCAUGUAGAAAAAACACCUGAUGAAGUUUGCUGAUACAGUCAUUGACCAGUAAUGAGAGGUAUGAAGGAUUUCACAGGUAGAUAAGUGUGCGCACUGGGUGUGACUCGGGGAUGGGGGGGGGGCGUAGGCCCCUGCAUACACUCACUUCACUUGAAUGUGAACUAUGGCCUCUGCAAGUUCUAAGGCAAAAAUUGGAGGUGCACUUGUAUCCAUGUAACUCUGAAACAUCCCCAGUUGAAUGAAAAGACAAGUUGAGAAAACACAUCAUUUUUUUGUUUACAGAAAACUAACCUUCAGUCCAAUUUUAACCUAACAAUUUCUAUUUACAUGGCAAAUGUAAUAAACACAUCAUGACAUGUGAUACCGUUUUGUAAACAUAUCAAACGUUUCUUUUACUCCUAAAAUGAUCUCAGCUUGUGCAUUCAAUCAGGAUACCAGUAUAUUAUAUUAUAAAGUUGAGCAAUUUGUGAAAAAGGCAAGCUUUGUUCAUCUUUUCAAAAGAACAACCUUUGGAGUUGGAGAGACAGUGUUUUUUCUUUCAAAGCAGCACACAAAAACAACUAAAACAAACAAAACAGUGAAACAAAACGAGAAAUGAAUACAGCACAAAAGCCUCUGAAAAAGAUAAUGAAUUCAAUGCAUCUAGCUUUCCAACAAAUAUCCACCAACUAAUUACCAUAGCCAGCUAACAAAUCAAAUAACAUUACUGUUUUUUGAGUUUUGGCUUGUAAAAAACUGCAGAGGUAAAGGAACUUGAGAGAGAGAAAAAAAAUGUAUUUACUACCAAAACAGAAUUCAAAUAUAUAUGUAUGUUUACUCCAAUUAUAAGACCAGAGGUUAGAAGUGAGCUAAACUUUCAGACACUCAAACACAGCCAGAAACCAGCUACAGUACAAAAGUCUGCUACAGAUUCAGAAAUGGAGAAAUAAAAUGCUUGGCACCCUGAGACGAUAUACAAGACCAAUGACUAGUCCUGGUUUAGGUCAACCAGACAAAUCUCUGUGUGAAUGAGAUGAUGACACACAACAAGCUUAUUUGACCCGUAAUGCUUGGGGUAACUGUAGAGAUGACCCGACCAUGUACUACUUUCAACCAUCGGUCACCAUAGUAACACCCCAUACAGCAUAGCAAGCAUGGAGUAGCUCUCUCAGGACUAGAGAGCUAAGAGGUCUGGACUGGCAAUUGACCAGCGUAAGGAGCUACAUUAAAAACCCCUCAUUACUUUGUAUCACCUCCCACUGGGCAAAAACUGGUUGCAUCAAUGUUCUUUCCAUGUAAUUUCAACAAAACAAUUCAAUGUGAUGACAAUGAAUCAAUGUGGAAAACUGAUUGGAUUUGCACAUUUUUUCACCCAGCUUUGAACCUAAAUCCAAUGACAUGGUAAACGUUUUGCAUUUACAUAAGUCGACAACUCAACCAAAUGUAUAUCAAAACUAGAUGUUGAAAUAAUGUCUGUGCCCAGUGGGCUUCUAUCUGCAUCCGCCAACCUUUACUGUAUAUCAAUCUUGGGCUCUAGGUAGAGAAUAAACAAUGAUGAAUUAUUGUACGUACAGUACAAACCAGAAAUAGGCUAUGCACUCAUUGCUAUCCAAAGAAUAACAUCGAUAUUAAUCCUAAUAGCAUUAUAAGGCCAUCUAACAACAGACAUUGAAAGAUAUCUGUUGGUAUAGCUUUGAUGGGCCGAGGACAAUAGAAACUUUAUGAAUUUCAAUCCAUUUUCCCCCACAUUGUCAAAGUGUAGCCUAAUGAGAGUGUGCUUUUCUGGUGGACCAUUAUGCUUUCCACUUUUACGUCAAAAACGAGAAAGAAAAGGUACAUUUAUUGGGUAGGAAUUGUAUAUGAUUUGACAAAUGUGUUUCCUGUUUUGUACCUGAUAAUGGAGACUGAUGUAUAUUGUUCCAAUUCAGUGAUAGCAUAUGAAUCAGAGAAAAGCCAAAGUGGAAGAAGAACCUCACAAACAACAAUUACAACUGCUCUACACUCCUUCCUUACAUAAGGAAAGGGGGAUACCUAGUCAGGUGUACAACUGCUCUACACUCCUUCCUUACAUAAGGAAAGGGGGAUACCUAGUCAGGUGUACAACUGCUCUACACUCCUUCCUUACAUAAGGAAAGGGGGAUACCUAGUCAGGUGUACAACUGCUCUACACUCCUUCCUUACAUAAGGAAAGGGGGAUACCUAGUCAAGUGUACAACUGAAUGCAUUCAACUGAAAUGUAUCUUCCACAUCUAACCCAACCCCUCUGAAUCAGAGAGGUGCGGGGGGCUGCCUUAAUCGACAUCCACGUCAUCGGCGCCCGGGGAACAGAUGCCAUUGGACAUACAUUGUGUGUGUAUUAAUAUUUGGGUGCAUGUUUUAGUUGUCUGUGUAUGACUGUAUACGGAUCUAACUAAAAUCUUAGGGAACCUUAUCUAAAUGGUCAAAUACUCAGACCAGCACACUGCGAAACACAGACAUAUUCUACAAAGCUGCACUCUAAUAUCACAACAGCUUUCGAUAUCAGUCAAGACGAAAGUAUUACACAGCUGUGUCCAAGAGGGUGCAACAGAGUAACGCCAAGAAGAAUUUGCAGACAGUCAUCAAGGUGUAUAUUUAAGUAAUAAGGCACGGGGGGUUGUGGUAUAUGGCCGAUAUAUCAUGGCUAAGGGCUGUGCUUAUGCGCGACGCAACGCCGAGUGCCUGGAUACAGCUCUUAGCUGUGGUAUAUUGGCCAUAUACCCCAAACCCCCAAGGUGCCUUAUUGCUAUUAUAAACUGGUUACCAACGUAAUUAGAGCAGUUAAAGUACAUGUUUUGUCAUACCUGCGGUAUACGGUUUGAUAUACCACGGCUGUCAGCCAAUCAGCAUUCAGGGCUCAAACCACUCAGUUUAUAAUAUCGCUCUUUCCGACACUGUAUAGCUUUUCAUCCUGAAUGAAGUUAAAGCUAUGAGUAAAGCUUUUUAUUCCAAUUGAAUUCACUCACUGUAAAGACAGGUUCUGUCUCUAUUUCUCAUUUUUUGUAUUUUCAAGCACAUCCCUGUUAAACAGAUACGAGUAUUAUUUCUGUAUAUUUAUGUUAUAAAUGUAAUUAUAUACUGGGUGGUUCGAGCCCUAAAUGCUGAUUGGCUGACAGCCAUGGUAUAUCACACCGUAUACCAUGGCUAAGACAAAACAUUUCAUUUUACUGCUCUAAUUAUGUUGGUAACCAGUUUAUAAUAGCAAUAAGGCACCUCAGGGGUUUGAUAUAUGGUAAAUAUACCACAGCUAAGGGCUGUAUCCAGGUACUCCUCAUUGCCUAAGAACAGCCCUUAGCUCUGGUAUAUUGGCCAUAUAUCACAAACCCCCGAGGUACCUUACUGCUUAAAUAUUGUUCAUCAAAAGAUGGACUAAAUAAUUUAACUGAGGACUAUUGUUAGAAGCAAACAUAAGCUAGACAAAAUAACUAGGUAAAAUAUACAGGCAGCAUGCAUUCACAUCACAGAAUAUUAUGAUUUCAACAAAUGUACAAUCAGGGCAAACAUGUUACUAUCAUGCUUUCACAUGAACUCAAGUCCCAAAUAAAUGAUUCAUUCUUAAAGAAAUACAAAUAUAAGAUGUGAACACUCUCUAAAUGUUAUGUUGGCUUUCUUUUUUCUAAUACAUCUGAUUGCUUUAGGUUUUUGAAUAUAAUGUCUUCAUAGAUAUAUUUAUAUCAAUAAGAUGUUUUAAUUUAAGUGCCAAUUCAAGUGCUCCAGCAUCAGUGUUUUCAGGGUUCUGAACCUGAUGUAGACCCUCUAUGAA
Long non-coding RNA from Oncorhynchus tshawytscha (Chinook salmon), 3845 nucleotides. NCBI's taxonomy places the organism in Eukaryota, Metazoa, Chordata, Actinopteri, Salmoniformes, Salmonidae. The record is from Ensembl.